GACGAACGCUGGCGGCGUGCCUAAUACAUGCAAGUUGAGCGCUGAAGGUUGGUACUUGUACCAACUGGAUGAGCAGCGAACGGGUGAGUAACGCGUGGGGAAUCUGCCUUUGAGCGGGGGACAACAUUUGGAAACGAAUGCUAAUACCGCAUAAAAGCUUUAAACACAAGUUUUAAGUUUGAAAGAUGCAAUUGCAUCACUCAAAGAUGAUCCCGCGUUGUAUUAGCUAGUUGGUGAGGUAAAGGCUCACCAAGGCGAUGAUACAUAGCCGACCUGAGAGGGUGAGCGGCCACAUUGGGACUGAGACACGGCCCAAACUCCUACGGGAGGCAGCAGUAGGGAAUCUUCGGCAAUGGACGAAAGUCUGACCGAGCAACGCCGCGUGAGUGAAGAAGGUUUUCGGAUCGUAAAACUCUGUUGGUAGAGAAGAACGUUGGUGAGAGUGGAAAGCUCAUCAAGUGACGGUAACUACCCAGAAAGGGACGGCUAACUACGUG
This 497-nucleotide ribosomal RNA is filed under the name uncultured bacterium. Its description in RNAcentral is "partial 16S ribosomal RNA". It matches the Rfam family "Bacterial small subunit ribosomal RNA", at positions 28 to 507 of the family's 1533-position model. The record is from RNAcentral.